AAAGCUUUAAGUUAAAGAAACUAUUAACCUUCAAAGUUAAAAAUAUAAACAAUUAUAAGCUUUA
RNAcentral lists this transfer RNA (64 nucleotides) under Cletus punctiger. Its description in RNAcentral is "tRNA-Trp". Lineage: Eukaryota; Metazoa; Arthropoda; Insecta; Hemiptera; Coreidae. RNAcentral also lists the same sequence under 2 other names. The record is from RNAcentral.